This 90-nucleotide transfer RNA is filed under the name Fusarium acuminatum. Its description in RNAcentral is "tRNA-Glu". It matches the Rfam family "tRNA". Rfam says of the family: Transfer RNA (tRNA) molecules are approximately 80 nucleotides in length. Their secondary structure includes four short double-helical elements and three loops (D, anti-codon, and T loops). Further hydrogen bonds mediate the characteristic L-shaped molecular structure. tRNAs have two regions of fundamental functional importance: the anti-codon, which is responsible for specific mRNA codon recognition, and the 3' end, to which the tRNAs corresponding amino acid is attached (by aminoacyl-tRNA synthetases). tRNAs cope with the degeneracy of the genetic code in two manners: having more than one tRNA (with a specific anti-codon) for a particular amino acid; and 'wobble' base-pairing, i.e. permitting non-standard base-pairing at the 3rd anti-codon position. The record is from RNAcentral. RNAcentral also lists the same sequence under 4 other names. Lineage: Eukaryota; Fungi; Ascomycota; Sordariomycetes; Hypocreales; Nectriaceae.
UCCGGUAUGGUGUAGUGGCUAACAUUUCGCGCUCUCAUAACUUGAGAGAAAAGUACCGCGGAGCCCAGGGUUCGAUUCCCUGUACCGGAG